Molecule: ribosomal RNA, 460 nt
Filed under: uncultured bacterium
Lineage: Bacteria
Description: partial 16S ribosomal RNA
Rfam family: Bacterial small subunit ribosomal RNA
Source: RNAcentral
CCUACGGGAGGCAGCAGUGAGGAAUAUUGGUCAAUGGGCGCGAGCCUGAACCAGCCAAGUCGCGUGAGGGAAGACGGUCCUAUGGAUUGUAAACCUCUUUUGUCGGGGAGCAAAAGACGCCACGUGUGGCGUUCCGAGAGUACCCGAAGAAAAAGCAUCGGCUAACUCCGUGCCAGCAGCCGCGGUAAUACGGAGGGGGCAAGCGUUAUCCGGAUUUACUGGGUGUAAAGGGAGCGUAGACGGCCAUGCAAGUCUGAUGUGAAAACCCGGGGCUCAACCCCGGGACUGCAUUGGAAACUGUGCGGCUGGAGUGUCGGAGAGGCAAGUGGAAUUCCUAGGGUAGCGGUGAAAUGCGUAGAUAUUAGGAGGAACACCAGUGGCGAAGGCGGCUUGCUGGACGACGACUGACGUUGAGGCUCGAAAGCGUGGGGAGCAAACAGGAUUAGAUACCCCUGUAGUC